RNAcentral lists this long non-coding RNA (281 nucleotides) under Ananas comosus (pineapple). Its description in RNAcentral is "long non-coding RNA (ACOM_LNC008657)". Lineage: Eukaryota; Viridiplantae; Streptophyta; Magnoliopsida; Poales; Bromeliaceae. The record is from RNAcentral.
UGCAUUAUUGUGAGAAGAUAAUGACACUUAGGGGCGUUUGGUUGGAUGUAGUUGCAGAAACAGUGUAGUUGGAAAUAUAUGCAGUUGCAAAUGCUGCAGUUAUAACUAUAUCUAGUCUGUUUGGUUUUACGCAGUUGCAACUGCUGCAGUUACAUUUCUUCUGUUUGGUAAUAUGAAGCUGAUAGUUGUAUUUAUGAAUUUUGUCACCUCUUCAGAUAAAGUGGUGAGGUUACCUUCACUAAACAUAAAAUAAUUGUAUAAAUUUAUUAAUUAUUUAAAUU